This 484-nucleotide ribosomal RNA is filed under the name uncultured bacterium. Its description in RNAcentral is "partial 16S ribosomal RNA". It matches the Rfam family "Bacterial small subunit ribosomal RNA", at positions 30 to 507 of the family's 1533-position model. The record is from RNAcentral.
AUUGAACGCUGGCGGCAGGCCUAACACAUGCAAGUCGAGCGGAAGAAGGGAGCUUGCUCCUGGAUUCAGCGGCGGACGGGUGAGUAAUGCCUAGGAAUCUGCCUGGCAGUGGGGGAUAACGUCCGGAAACGGGCGCUAAUACCGCCUACGUCCUGCGGGAGAAAGUGGGGGAGCUUCGGACCGCAUGCUAUGAGAUGAGCCUAGGUCGGAUUAGCUGGGUGGUGGGGUAAAGGCCUACCAAGGCGACGAUCCGUAACUGGUCUGAGAGGAUGAUCAGUGACACUGGAAGGGGAACAGCGUCCUGGCGUCUACGGGAGGGACCAGUGGGGAAUAUUGGACAAUGGGCGGAAACCUGUUACAGCCAGCCCGCGUGUGAUAAGAAGAUCUCCCGAUUGGGAAGCCCGUCAAGUUGGGAGGAACGGCAGUAAUUUAAUACCUAGCUGUAUUGACGUUACCAACAGAAUAAGCACCGGCUAACUUCGUG